GUCAAAGAAUCUCGACGAGGAGGUGGCGAAUUACCUCCUGUUUGUUGGGUCGAUUGACCGAACACUUGGUGUGCAGGUGGCCGCCAGAUCUCAAGAAGGCGAUGGAUGUCGCAUCAGGAGGCUGCAAUGGCAAGUGGCGCUGGGGUUGGGUCUGGUCCGGGAGUAGCGCCGCCCGAGGUCGGGGUGGGAGGUGAGGUCGCCUCACCGUCGGGGCCUCCGCUUCCCCACGUCCUCUUUCCCGAGGAGGAGCACAUCGUCGGCAGCAACCACGCUGAAAGCACGGUACACACUACACAAGCGCUUCCGCGGCCGAGCUCGCACGCCCCACAUCGGCACCUCGGCCACUUGCUCCCCUCGCGCUGUGUGGGGGCGUUCUCAUGGAUGCUCAAGAAAGAAAGAGACCAGCGAUAACGCGAGCGCGGCCGCCAGCAUGGGCAGCUCCAUGAGGAACGCCGGCGGCGCCCGCGUGUUCUCGUGGAUGGCCAGGCUCAGCCGUCCGCGGCGGCGCCCGAAGGGCGUCACCGCCGGCGCGUGGUCCGCGAGGAGGGCCCUGCUGCGGCUGUGCCGCCCGAGCAGCGCGGCCAUCUUGCAGUACAUCUUGAAGAGCCCCACGACGGCGGCGCCGAUGCUGCCGUGCUUGGUCCGGUGCCCCAGGCGUGCAGGCCGGCCGCCUUAUCGGCCUCCGUCGCGACGCCUCGGCCCAUUCCCCAUUCCUGGCCGCGGGCGGGAUGUUGGAGAUGCGGUCGCUGGCGCUCACGUCCACCUGGAGAGGCCGAGAGGGCCGAAGGCGGGGGGAUUCCGAGACGGCCGUCGUCCAACGAGGCGGGCACCUUCCCCACCGACGAGCUCGCCGACGAGAACCCAACCGAAGCUGCCCCCCUUCCACCUUCUCUGCCACCGGAUAGGAUGAAGAAAGGAGUGCGGGCGUAAUUCUAAAACAUGUAGGGUUUAAUUUGUAAAAUCGAAGCGUUUUCUCAGAUCCACUUAAACAGGGAGUGCGGGUUGAUU
This 1008-nucleotide ribosomal RNA is filed under the name Triticum aestivum (bread wheat). Its description in RNAcentral is "partial small subunit ribosomal RNA". The record is from RNAcentral. Lineage: Eukaryota; Viridiplantae; Streptophyta; Magnoliopsida; Poales; Poaceae.